AUGAGUAUCAUAUGUUGGAACUGCCACGGUUUGGGCAACCCUGCGACAGUUCGAGAGGUUCGCGAGUUAGCGACCAAAUUUGCCCCGGCCGUGCUGUGCCUAGUAGAAACUCAACUUCUGAGUGCACGUGCUGAAAUUUUAGCUGCUUCUUUUGGUUAUAAUAAAUCGUUCUCGGUUAGUAGUAGUGGAAGGAGUGGUGGUAUUGUAAUCUUUUGGAACGAUGAAAUAAAUUGGAGGUUUCUAGUUACUCGAAAUAUCAUAUUGGCGCAAGGGUCUUGGAGCUGGGCCCUGUCCCUUGGAGGCUCUCAUGUGUAUAUGACGAAGCGCAGGUCGCCGAAAGGCACAAAACAUGGACCACUUUGUGUAAUUUGGCAGCGACGACAGGUGACCCUUGGGUGGUUAUAG
RNAcentral lists this ribosomal RNA (405 nucleotides) under Triticum aestivum (bread wheat). RNAcentral describes it as "partial small subunit ribosomal RNA". The record is from RNAcentral. Lineage: Eukaryota; Viridiplantae; Streptophyta; Magnoliopsida; Poales; Poaceae.